ACACGAGAGAGGAGGUGGUCCACCAGUGAGUUCCGGUAGGACGCGUGAGGUGGCUGUCCGCUAAGGACCACCCAUCAACGAUGGACGCCGGCUCCGCCCACGGCAGACACCGGGUACCCGGUGCCGUAGGCGCGGCGCGUGGUCGGCGAAUACCAGGCAGUCACCCGGCCCCUGGGCUUCCGUGGUAGUCCGCCACGGGCCUCCCUCGCGGAGGAGUCGCCCAGGGGCUGUGCCCU
RNAcentral lists this small RNA (236 nucleotides) under Actinokineospora bangkokensis. RNAcentral describes it as "Actinobacteria sRNA Ms_IGR-5". It matches the Rfam family "Actinobacteria sRNA Ms_IGR-5". Lineage: Bacteria; Bacillati; Actinomycetota; Actinomycetes; Pseudonocardiales; Pseudonocardiaceae. The record is from Rfam by way of RNAcentral.